GCUCGGCUCUCCGGAGGGAGAAGGAAAACGCUCUGGCAGACGCUGGUUUUUUUAUUUUUUAAUUUUUUUUUUUUCCUGCCUUCAGUUCUUGCUCGGGGGCGGGGAGGGGGAUGGCGAGCGUUUGGAUGUUUUAAAAUGUUCCUCCGGGGAAGCAGAUGCCGAAAGCCCCGAACUGAAUUUUUUUUUACUUGCGCCGUAGCUCCCAGGCACGAAAUGGAUAUGCAGGAAUUAGGAGUGCAUAAAAUGAAGGAUAUUCUAGCCAGAAUGAAAAAGGCAAAGACUUUGAUUUAUACCCUUUCUCUCCUCCCCCCCAGUCCCUUUAUUUAUUUAUUUAAUUAUUUUGCUGGCUUUCAAAUGAAUUACUAUUCACAAGGUACCAAAAUGGUAUCUGUCUCUAACACGGGCUAGUCCAAAAAGCAUUAGACUCCUGGGUGAUGCAUGCAUAAGCACAUCCCCAAGGAAGGUAAAACAGAUCAGGCUGCGGGUCCCCAUAAAUACCAUUAAGUUCAGAAUAAAAGUGCUUCCUGUGCAGCCCUUCGGGAGCACAUAUAGCAGUCUGACAUCAUGAUACAAGUGCCUUCACCUCCUAUAGAAGUCCCCCUUUAUUGUCUACUUUUUAAAUAUUCAUUUGGUGAGGAGAGAACCAGUAUAUGCUGGGAGAGCUUCUUUGUACCGCUGCUACAAAGGACAGAGUGGCUGUGUAACACAGUAUUUACCUACCCAGAUAUCUGUGACAAAGGAACCUCUUUAGCAAAUGAGGUCACUAAUUCAGAAAUUGGCCCUUUAUGAGGAGAACGCUCACUUCUUUUUCACGUUCCAAUUACUAGCAAGUCUCUAAGAAAGACUUUCUUCCUGUUGAUUUGUGCUGGUGAUACGAUAAGGUUUUCACAGACUCCGUGCCUCUCUAUUAAGAAAUUGAAUGUUUUGAAUUAUUUACUAAUGGAACUGUUGAAUGAGAGCGGCAGUGCGGGCUCAGGGGCAGGGAAGCACGCAUUCAGGCGCUGCUGCAUGUCCGUCUCCUUCCCCCCCCUUGCUCUGCCGUCUGCCUCGCUGCUUCCAAAGUCUGUGUGAUUCUCCAGGCCUCCUAAGGCUGACCCAGAAGAAAUGUCAACAAAUGUUUGUGAGUCCUUGUGGCCUUGUAACAUUUCCUUUAAAAAGUGAAGAAUGGAACAGCAGGAGCUGUAACACUCCCCCAGAACAGACAUAUGAAGGCAUAUGGCUGACAUGGGAGCCUGCUGGCUCUUCCAAGAUUGCUGGCUUCAUUUUUAAGGAUCCUUUUUUUUUUAAUUCCUCAAGACAGCUAAACUUGUCUCUCUGGUGAGUUGGUGUACUCUGCUCAGAGCAGAGUUUGGAAUGCCUGGGGUCCUGUGCAGCCCCUGCUGUGCCAUGGGAGAGCCCACAGGUUGUUGCUGCACGUGGCAGAUGGGGAAAUGCAGGGAGGGUGAGACGUGGUGGCUG
Molecule: long non-coding RNA, 1458 nt
Filed under: Zonotrichia albicollis (white-throated sparrow)
Lineage: Eukaryota; Metazoa; Chordata; Aves; Passeriformes; Passerellidae
Description: lncRNA (ENSZALG00000004240.1)
Source: RNAcentral